GACCAAAUGUAGAUUCCUCCUAAAGCCCAAGAUAGUAAAAAAGAGGACCAAGAAAUUCAUCUGGCACCAGUCAGACGGACAGGUCCAAGUUAAGUGUAACUGGUGGAGACCAAGAGGUAUUGAUGACAAGGUGCAGAGAAGAUUUAAGGGCCAGAUGUUGAUGCCCAACUUUGGUUAUGGAGGCAACAAGAAAACAAAACACAUGCUGCCUAGUGCCUUCCGGAAGUUCCUGGUCCACACUGUCAAGGAGCCACAAGUGCUGCUGAUGUGUAGCAAAUCUUGCUGCACUGACAUUGUUCACCAUGUCUCUUCCAAGAACUCCAAAACUGUCUUGGAAAGAGCAGCCCAUCUGGCCAUCAGGGUAAACAAUCCCAAUGCCAGGCUGUGCAGCAAAGAAAAUGAAUAG
This 406-nucleotide long non-coding RNA is filed under the name Homo sapiens (human). RNAcentral describes it as "non-protein coding lnc-TUSC3-3:2". The record is from RNAcentral. Lineage: Eukaryota; Metazoa; Chordata; Mammalia; Primates; Hominidae.